GCAUCCGUAGCUCAGCUGGAUAGAGUACUCGGCUACGAACCGAGCGGUCGAAGGUUCGAAUCCUCCCGGAUGCACCA
This 77-nucleotide transfer RNA is filed under the name Citrobacter freundii. RNAcentral's name for it is "tRNA-Arg". It matches the Rfam family "tRNA". From Rfam's summary of the family: Transfer RNA (tRNA) molecules are approximately 80 nucleotides in length. The record is from RNAcentral. RNAcentral also lists the same sequence under 5 other names. Lineage: Bacteria; Pseudomonadati; Pseudomonadota; Gammaproteobacteria; Enterobacterales; Enterobacteriaceae.